Molecule: ribosomal RNA, 519 nt
Filed under: uncultured bacterium
Lineage: Bacteria
Description: bacterial SSU rRNA
Rfam family: Bacterial small subunit ribosomal RNA
Source: RNAcentral
UAGUCCACGCCGUAAACGAUGGAUACUAGGUGUCCGGGAAGUUAACCUCCUGGGUACUACAGCUAACGCGUUAAGUAUCCCGCCUGGGGAGUACGGUCGCAAGGCUAAAACUCAAAGGAAUUGACGGGGGCCCGCACAAGCGGUGGAGUAUGUGGUUUAAUUCGAAGCAACGCGCAGAACCUUACCUACCCUUAACAUUUCACGCUCGCCUCAGAGAUGAGGUUUUCUCUUCGGAGACGUGAGGAUAGGUGCUGCAUGGCUGUCGUCAGCUCGUGUCGUAAGAUGUCUGGUUAAGUCCAAUAACGAGCGCAACCCCUAUUGUUAGUUGCCAGCGAGUAAUGUCGGGACUCUAACGAGACUGCCCGCGUAAGCGGAGAGGAAGGUGGGGACGACGUCAAAUCAUCAUGGCCUUUAUGCCUAGGGCUACACACGUGCUACAAUGGCCGUGACAAAGAGUUGCUACUUUGUGGAAACAAGCUAAUCUCAUAAACGCGGCCUCAUUCGGAUUGCAGGCUGAAA